RNAcentral lists this ribosomal RNA (333 nucleotides) under uncultured bacterium. Its description in RNAcentral is "bacterial SSU rRNA". It matches the Rfam family "Bacterial small subunit ribosomal RNA", at positions 568 to 898 of the family's 1533-position model. The record is from RNAcentral.
CGCGUAGGCGGCUCGUUAAGUGUGAAGUGAAAUCCCCAGGGCUCAACCCGGGAACUGCUUUACAUACUGGCGGGCUGGAGGAUUGGAGAGGCUUGUGGAAUUCCUGGUGUAGCGGUGAAAUGCGUUGAUAUCAGGAGGAACACCCAUGGCGAAGGCAGCAAGCUGGCCAAUUUCUGACGCUGAGGCGCGAAAGCGUGGGUAGCAAACAGGAUUAGAUACCCUGGUAGUCCACGCCCUAAACGAUGGAUGCUAGGCGUGAGGGGUAUCGACCCCCCUCGUGCCGCAGCUAACGCACUAAGCAUCCCGCCUGGGGACUACGGCCGCAAGGUUGAA